GAUGAACGCUGGCGGCGUGCCUAAUACAUGCAAGUCGAGCGAACAGACGAGGAGCUUGCUCCUCUGACGUUAGCGGCGGACGGGUGAGUAACACGUGGAUAACCUACCUAUAAGACUGGGAUAACUUCGGGAAACCGGAGCUAAUACCGGAUGAUAUAUUGAACCGCAUGGUUCAAUAGUGAAAGACGGUUUUGCUGUCACUUAUAGAUGGAUCCGCGCCGCAUUAGCUAGUUGGUAAGGUAACGGCUUACCAAGGCAACGAUGCGUAGCCGACCUGAGAGGGUGAUCGGCCACACUGGAACUGAGACACGGUCCAGACUCCUACGGGAGGCAGCAGUAGGGAAUCUUCCGCAAUGGGCGAAAGCUUGACGGAGCAACGCCGCGUGAGCGAUGAAGGUCUUCGGAUCGUAAAACUCUGUUAUUAGGGAAGAACAAAUGUGUAAGUAACUAUGCACGUCUUGACGGUACCUAAUCAGAAAGCCACGGCUAACUACGUG
This 497-nucleotide ribosomal RNA is filed under the name uncultured bacterium. Its description in RNAcentral is "partial 16S ribosomal RNA". It matches the Rfam family "Bacterial small subunit ribosomal RNA", at positions 28 to 507 of the family's 1533-position model. The record is from RNAcentral.